RNAcentral lists this ribosomal RNA (484 nucleotides) under uncultured bacterium. RNAcentral describes it as "partial 16S ribosomal RNA". It matches the Rfam family "Bacterial small subunit ribosomal RNA", at positions 30 to 507 of the family's 1533-position model. The record is from RNAcentral.
AUUGAACGCUGGCGGCAGGCCUAACACAUGCAAGUCGAGCGGAUGAAGGGAGCUUGCUCCUGGAUUCAGCGGCGGACGGGUGAGUAAUGCCUAGGAAUCUGCCUGGUAUUGGGGGAUAACGUCCGGAAACGGGCGCUAAUACCGCAUACGUCCUGAGGGAGAAAGUGGGGGAUCUUCGGACCUCACGCUAUCAGAUGAGCCUAGGUCGGAUUAGCUAGUUGGUGGGGUAGAGGCCUACCAAGGCGACGAUCCGUAACUGGUCUGAGAGGAUGAUCAGUCACACUGGAACUGAGACACGGUCCAGACUCCUACGGGAGGCAGCAGUGGGGAAUAUUGGACAAUGGGCGAAAGCCUGAUCCAGCCAUGCCGCGUGUGUGAAGAAGGUCUUCGGAUUGUAAAGCACUUUAAGUUGGGAGGAAGGGCAGUAAGUUAAUACCUUGCUGUUUUGACGUUACCAACAGAAUAAGCACCGGCUAACUUCGUG